AUGCUUUUGACGGGUAACGGGGAAUUAGGGUUCGACUCCGGAGAGGGAGCCUGAGAAACGGCUACCACAUCCAAGGAAGGCAGCAGGCGCGCAAAUUACCCAAUCCCGAUACGGGGAGGUAGUGACAAGAAAUACCGAUUCAGGAUCUUAUUGGAUCUUGAGAUUGGAAUGAGUACAAUUCAAACCCAUUAACGAGGAACAACUAGAGGGCAAGUCUGGUGCCAGCAGCCGCGGUAAUUCCAGCUCUAGUAGCGUAUAUUAAAAUUGUUGCAGUUAAAACGCUCGUAGUUGAACUUUGGGCUUGGCUGGCUGGUCCGCCUCACCGCGAGCACUGGUCCGGCUGGGCCUUUCCUCUUGGGGAUCCACAUGCCCUUCACUUGGGUGUGUUGGGGAACCAGGACUUUUACUUUGAAAAAAUUAGGGUGUUCAAAGCAGGCAUUUGCUCGAAUACAUUAGCAUGGGAUAAUAGAAUAGGACGUGUGGUCUUAUUUUGUUGGUUUCUAGGACCGCCGUAAUGAUUGAUAGGGAUAGUUGGGGGCAUCGGUAUUCAAUUGU
Molecule: ribosomal RNA, 555 nt
Filed under: Hesperomyces harmoniae
Lineage: Eukaryota; Fungi; Ascomycota; Laboulbeniomycetes; Laboulbeniales; Laboulbeniaceae
Description: SSU rRNA
Rfam family: Eukaryotic small subunit ribosomal RNA
Source: RNAcentral